CUUUUUUAUAUUCCUACAUAUAUGUACAGUGCCGUGCAAAAACUUUGCCAGGUUCUGUCUAGGAGAGGAAAGCCCCGUUCCCACUUGCGGAAAAGUCUCUACGAAAAAUAAUUACGUAUACAGAAUUUAUUUUCUUUUUCCGGAUGAUUUCCGUCCGUAAAAUUCAGUGUGUUCCCAUCUAAUCUGGAAAAGAAUUUCAAAAGCGCCAGUUAUUGGCAGUUAUCUUCUGACAUCACACAUUCAACGUAGAGGAUGAAUUCAACGAAUGUUUUCGACUGUAUAGUGCCGAGUUUCUUUCACUGUGUGUUUUAUAUAAGAAAUAUAUUCAAAAUAAAAAGAGAAAACGUAGAUUUUUGGGUACUGGGAUUAUAUCGUUCUUGUGAUCCCCUUGGAUAUAAAGGAACAAUUAUUAAAGAACUGCGUUUAUAUGAUAGGCAAUAUUCAGCUUUAAAUACCCAGC
RNAcentral lists this long non-coding RNA (460 nucleotides) under Androctonus crassicauda. Lineage: Eukaryota; Metazoa; Arthropoda; Arachnida; Scorpiones; Buthidae. The record is from RNAcentral.